AGAGUUUGAUCAUGGCUCAGGAUGAACGCUAGCUACAGGCUUAACACAGUGCAAGUCGAGGGGGAAACGAUAUUGGAAGCUGCUUCCGAUAGGCGUCGACCGGCGUACGGGUGAGUAACGCGUAUCCAACCUGCCCACCACUUGGGGAUAACCUUGCGAAAGUAAGACUAAUACCCAAUGACGUCUCUAGAAGACAUCUGAAAGAGAUUAAAGAUUUANCGGUGAUGGAUGGGGAUGCGUCUGAUUAGCCUGUUGGCGGGGUAACGGCCCACCAAGGCGACGAUCAGUAGGGGUUCUGAGAGGAAGGCCCCCCACAUUGGAACUGAGACACGGUCCAAACUCAUACGGGAGGCAGCA
This 357-nucleotide ribosomal RNA is filed under the name uncultured bacterium. RNAcentral's name for it is "bacterial SSU rRNA". It matches the Rfam family "Bacterial small subunit ribosomal RNA", at positions 8 to 353 of the family's 1533-position model. The record is from RNAcentral.